RNAcentral lists this ribosomal RNA (250 nucleotides) under uncultured bacterium. Its description in RNAcentral is "partial 16S ribosomal RNA". It matches the Rfam family "Bacterial small subunit ribosomal RNA", at positions 86 to 339 of the family's 1533-position model. The record is from RNAcentral.
UGAUGGCGAGUGGCGAACGGGUGAGUAAUGCAUCGGAACGUGCCCAAUCGUGGGGGAUAACUACGCGAAAGCGUAGCUAAUACCGCAUACGCACUAAGGUGGAAAGCGGGGGAUCGCAAGACCUCGCGCUCAUGGAGCGGCCGAUAUCUGAUUAGCUAGUUGGUGGGGUAAAAGCCUACCAAGGCGACGAUCAGUAGCUGGUCUGAGAGGACGACCAGCCACACUGGGACUGAGACACGGCCCAGACUCC